This 1499-nucleotide ribosomal RNA is filed under the name uncultured bacterium. RNAcentral describes it as "bacterial SSU rRNA". It matches the Rfam family "Bacterial small subunit ribosomal RNA". The record is from RNAcentral.
UGGUUUGAUCAUGGCUCAGGAUGAACGCUGGCGGCAUGCCUAAUACAUGCAAGUCGAACGGAGUGAAGCCUUCGGGUUUCAUUCAGUGGCGAACGGGUGAGUAAUACGCAGGGAACCUGGCCAUGGCAGGGGGAUACACUCUGGAAACGGAGCAUAAGACCCCAUAGGCAGUAAGGCGGCAUCGCCUUACUGUUAAAGAAAGCUGAAAGGCUUUGGCGAUGGAUGGACCUGCGGUGCAUUAGCUUGUUGGUGAGGCAACGGCUUACCAAGGCGAUGAUGCAUAGCCGGCCUGAGAGGGCGGACGGCCACACUGGGACUGAGACACGGCCCAGACUCCUGCGGGAGGCAGCAGUAGGGAAUUUUCGUCAAUGGGCGCAAGCCUGAACGAGCAAUGCCGCGUGAGUGAGGAAGGUCUUCGGACUGUAAAGCUCUGUUGCCGGGGAAAAAGGGGAAAUGCAGGAAAUGGCAUUUCAUGGAUGGUACCCGGCCAGAAAGCCACGGCUAACUACGUGCCAGCAGCCGCGGUAAUACGUAGGUGGCGAGCGUUAUCCGGAAUGAUUGGGCGUAAAGGGUGCGCAGGCGGUCUGUUAAGUCUGAAGGCAAAGGGAUGAGCUCAACUCAUUUAUGAUUCAGAAACUGGCAGACUUGAGGACAGGAGAGGGCGGUGGAACUCCAUGUGUAGCGGUAAAAUGCGCAGAGAUAUGGAAGAACACCAGUGGCGAAGGCGGCCGCCUGGCCUGUGACUGACGCUGAGGCACGAAAGCGUGGGGAGCAAAUAGGAUUAGAUACCCUAGUAGUCCACGCCGUAAACGAUGAGGAGCAGGUGUUGGGAGUGAAAUCUCAGUGCCGAAGCCAACGCAGUGACUCCUCCGCCUGGGGAGUAUGCACGCAAGUGUGAAACUCAAAGGAAUUGACGGGGGCCCGCACAAGCGGUGGAGUAUGUGGUUUAAUUCGAAGCAACGCGAAGAACCUUACCAGGUUUUGACAUCGGAUGCGAAGGCGCAGAGAUGCGCUGGAGGCUAUCAUCCAGACAGGUGGUGCAUGGUUGUCGUCAGCUCGUGUCGUGAGAUGUUCAGUUAAGUCUGGCAACGAGCGCAACCCCCGUGGUAUGUUACUAACGCAUUUGGGCGAGGACUCAUAUCAGACUGCCGGUGACAAACCGGAGGAAGGCGGGGAUGACGUCAAAUCAUCAUGCCCCUUAUGACCUGGGCUACACACGUACUACAAUGGCGUCUACAGAGGGAAGCGACCCUGAGAAGGGAAGCGAAACCGGAAAAGGGCGUCCCAGUUCGGAUUGAAGUCUGCAACCCGACUUCAUGAAGAUGGAGUCGCUAGUAAUCGCGGAUCAGCAUGCCGCGGUGAAUACGUUCCCGGGCCUUGUACACACCGCCCGUCAAACCAUGGAAGCCGGCAACGCCCGAAGCCGGUGGCAUAACCUUUUAGGAGUGAGCCGUCGAAGGCGGGGCCGAUGACUGGGGUUAAGUCGUAACAAGGUACCC